Molecule: transfer RNA, 77 nt
Filed under: Candidatus Saccharimonadota bacterium
Lineage: Bacteria; Candidatus Saccharimonadota
Also listed under: 2 other names
Description: tRNA-Asp
Rfam family: tRNA
About the family: Transfer RNA (tRNA) molecules are approximately 80 nucleotides in length. Their secondary structure includes four short double-helical elements and three loops (D, anti-codon, and T loops).
Source: RNAcentral
GCGCUCGUGGUGUAGAGGCCUAACAUGCCUCCCUGUCACGGAGGAGAUCGCCGGUUCGAAUCCGGUCGAGCGCGCCA